AGAGUUUGAUCAUGGCUCAGGACGAACGCUGGCGGCGUGCUUAACACAUGCAAGUCAAGGGGGCGGCGCAAGCCGCAACCGGCGAACGGGUGCGUAACACGUGAGCGACCUGCCUCCCCGCGGGGGAUAGCCGGCCCAACGGCCGGGUAAUACCGCAUACGUUCUUCGCGGGGCAUCCCGGGAAGAAGAAACCUCCGGGGCGGGGAGAGGGGCUCGCGGCCUAUCAGCUAGUUGGCGGGGUAACGGCCCACCAAGGCGGCGACGGGUAGCUGGUCUGAGAGGAUGGCCAGCCACAUUGGGACUGAGAGACGGCCCAGACUCCUACGGGAGGCAGCAGUGGGGAAUCUUGCGCAAUGGCCGAAGGCUGACGCAGCGCGCCGCGUGGGGGAGGAAGGGCUUCGGCUCGUAAACCCCUGUUGCCCGGGGCGAACAUCCCCUUUCGAGGGGACUGACGGUACCGGGUGAGGAAGCACCGGCUAACUCCGUGCCAGCAGCCGCGGUAAUACGGAGGGUGCGAGCGUUGUCCGGAAUCACUGGGCGUAAAGGGCGCGUAGGUGGCUUCUCAAGCGCGCGGUGAAAGCCCGGGGCUCAACCCCGGGUCGGCCGUGCGGACUGGGAGGCUCGAGCACUGUAGGGGCGGGUGGAAUUCCGGGUGUAGCGGUGGAAUGCGUAGAGAUCCGGAAGAACACCGGUGGCGAAG
This 700-nucleotide ribosomal RNA is filed under the name uncultured bacterium. Its description in RNAcentral is "bacterial SSU rRNA". It matches the Rfam family "Bacterial small subunit ribosomal RNA", at positions 8 to 720 of the family's 1533-position model. The record is from RNAcentral.